This 490-nucleotide ribosomal RNA is filed under the name uncultured bacterium. RNAcentral describes it as "partial 16S ribosomal RNA". It matches the Rfam family "Bacterial small subunit ribosomal RNA", at positions 30 to 507 of the family's 1533-position model. The record is from RNAcentral.
AUUGAACGCUGGCGGCAUGCCUUACACAUGCAAGUCGAACGGCAGCAUGAUCUAGCUUGCUAGAUUGAUGGCGAGUGGCGAACGGGUGAGUAAUACAUCGGAACGUGCCCUGUAGUGGGGGAUAACUAGUCGAAAGAUUAGCUAAUACCGCAUACGACCUGAGGGUGAAAGUGGGGGACCGCAAGGCCUCAUGCUAUAGGAGCGGCCGAUGUCUGAUUAGCUAGUUGGUGAGGUAAAGGCUCACCAAGGCGACGAUCAGUAGCUGGUCUGAGAGGACGAUCCGCCACACUGGGACUGAGACACGGCCCAGACUCCUACGGGAGGCAGCAGUGGGGAAUUUUGGACAAUGGGCGAAAGCCUGAUCCAGCAAUGCCGCGUGUGUGAAGAAGGCCUUCGGGUUGUAAAGCACUUUUGUCCGGAAAGAAAUGGCUCUGGUUAAUACCUGGGGUCGAUGACGGUACCGGAAGAAUAAGGACCGGCUAACUACGUG